Molecule: long non-coding RNA, 769 nt
Filed under: Homo sapiens (human)
Lineage: Eukaryota; Metazoa; Chordata; Mammalia; Primates; Hominidae
Description: non-protein coding lnc-C2orf91-7:2
Source: RNAcentral
CAUUUGGGUUAGUUCCAAGUCUUUGCUACUGUGAAUAGUGCCACAAUAAACAUACAUGUGCAUGUGUCUUUAUGUAUUUACAGAGCACCUUGGGAGUGUUUUGCUUAUGUGAAUUCUAAGGGAGUAUUAGACGAUAUGUGAGGAAGACUUUAAACUCUUAGGAAGAAUGUAACUAUGCAAAUCAGAGUGUUGGCAUUAUUAAUGACAACAAUAGUUUUAUUAUACGUCAAGCACUUUGCCCUUCAAAAGAAAAAGGUUCUGCGAGUACAAAGAAGCAUAGUAGCAGCAAAAGUGGGUUCCCAGUGGAGGGCACUGCCAUUUCCCAGUGACCAGCGCACACCUUCUUUAUCUGGGGCAACAUGGAGGAUUGGUUGCCAUUUGAGUUAUUGUUUAAUUACAAGGCCAGAAACCCUCCCUUUUCCUCUCUCUCUUUCUUUUCUCUCCUUUGCUCCCACCACCUGUGCCCAACUGAAGACAGAGGCUCCCAAUUCAAGGGGGAACAGGCCCUUGUAUAAGCCCAGGCGAGCCAGCGGAAGCUUUCUGGCACUUAUUUGCUUUCUCAGCUUUAAAAACUCUGUCAUCUGAGACAGACCAAGUAAUUGCUAUGAAAUAAUCUGGGAAGUCACAUCUAGAGAUGAAGGGUAAAUGUAAGUUGCAGGCACUCACAUUCUCUUGCUGCUCUAGGGUAUAAUGGUCCAAUUUUGACCAGUGGAGAAGGCAACACCUUAAGGAGCAGCAUGGUACAGGGAGGAAAGCUCUGGGCUGGGAG